GCGGGAGUAGCACAAUGGUAGUGUUUCAGCCUUCCAAGCUGGCCACGCGGGUUCGAUUCCCGUCUCCCGCU
RNAcentral lists this transfer RNA (71 nucleotides) under Candidatus Endomicrobiellum calonymphae. RNAcentral's name for it is "tRNA-Gly". It matches the Rfam family "tRNA". From Rfam's summary of the family: Transfer RNA (tRNA) molecules are approximately 80 nucleotides in length. Their secondary structure includes four short double-helical elements and three loops (D, anti-codon, and T loops). Further hydrogen bonds mediate the characteristic L-shaped molecular structure. tRNAs have two regions of fundamental functional importance: the anti-codon, which is responsible for specific mRNA codon recognition, and the 3' end, to which the tRNAs corresponding amino acid is attached (by aminoacyl-tRNA synthetases). tRNAs cope with the degeneracy of the genetic code in two manners: having more than one tRNA (with a specific anti-codon) for a particular amino acid; and 'wobble' base-pairing, i.e. permitting non-standard base-pairing at the 3rd anti-codon position. The record is from RNAcentral. Lineage: Bacteria; Pseudomonadati; Elusimicrobiota; Endomicrobiia; Endomicrobiales; Endomicrobiaceae.